This is a regulatory RNA element of Streptomyces aurantiacus JA 4570, 68 nucleotides long. It matches the Rfam family "Actino-pnp RNA". The record is from Rfam. NCBI's taxonomy places the organism in Bacteria, Bacillati, Actinomycetota, Actinomycetes, Kitasatosporales, Streptomycetaceae.
GCCGGUCCUCGGUAGUGGCCCCCGGGAUACGAAAAGACGAACCCCGGGUGCUUCGAUCGAAGACCGGC